UGGGGAAUUUUGGACAAUGGGCGAAAGCCUGAUCCAGCAAUGCCGCGUGUGUGAAGAAGGCCUUCGGGUUGUAAAGCACUUUUGUCCGGAAAGAAAUCCUUGGCUCUAAUACAGUCGGGGGAUGACGGUACCGGAAGAAUAAGCACCGGCUAACUACGUGCCAGCAGCCGCGGUAAUACGUAGGGUGCAAGCGUUAAUCGGAAUUACUGGGCGUAAAGCGUGCGCAGGCGGUUUGCUAAGACCGAUGUGAAAUCCCCGGGCUCAACCUGGGAACUGCAUUGGUGACUGGCAGGCUAGAGUAUGGCAGAGGGGGGUAGAAUUCCACGUGUAGCAGUGAAAUGCGUAGAGAUGUGGAGGAAUACCGAUGGCGAAGGCAGCCCCCUGGGCCAAAUACUGACGCUCAUGCACGAAAGCGUGGGGGAGCAAACAGGAUUAGAUACCCUGGUAGUCCACGCCCUAAACGAUGUCAACUAGUUGUUGGGGAUUCAUUUCCUUAGUAACGUAGCUAACGCGUGAAGUUGACCGCCUGGGGAGUACGGUCGCAAGAUUAAAACUCAAAGGAAUUGACGGGGUCAUAGCUGUUUCC
RNAcentral lists this ribosomal RNA (586 nucleotides) under uncultured bacterium. Its description in RNAcentral is "partial 16S ribosomal RNA". It matches the Rfam family "Bacterial small subunit ribosomal RNA", at positions 355 to 937 of the family's 1533-position model. The record is from RNAcentral.